UGGGGAAUUUUGGACAAUGGGCGAAAGCCUGAUCCAGCAAUGCCGCGUGUGUGAAGAAGGCCUUCGGGUUGUAAAGCACUUUUGUCCGGAAAGAAAUCCUUGGCUCUAAUACAGUCGGGGGAUGACGGUACCGGAAGAAUAAGCACCGGCUAACUACGUGCCAGCAGCCGCGGUAAUACGUAGGGUGCAAGCGUUAAUCGGAAUUACUGGGCGUAAAGCGUGCGCAGGCGGUUUGCUAAGACCGAUGUGAAAUCCCCGGGCUCAACCUGGGAACUGCAUUGGUGACUGGCAGGCUAGAGUAUGGCAGAGGGGGGUAGAAUUCCACGUGUAGCAGUGAAAUGCGUAGAGAUGUGGAGGAAUACCGAUGGCGAAGGCAGCCCCCUGGGCCAAUACUGACGCUCAUGCACUAAAGCGUGGGGAGCAAACAGGAUUAGAUACCCUGGUAGUCCACGCCCUAAACGAUGUCAACUAGUUGUUGGGGAUUCAUUUCCUUAGUAACGUAGCUAACGCGUGAAGUUGACCGCCUGGGGAGUACGGUCGCAAGAUUAAAACUCAAAUGAAUUGACGGGGUCAUAGCUGUUUCCU
RNAcentral lists this ribosomal RNA (585 nucleotides) under uncultured bacterium. Its description in RNAcentral is "partial 16S ribosomal RNA". It matches the Rfam family "Bacterial small subunit ribosomal RNA", at positions 355 to 1375 of the family's 1533-position model. The record is from RNAcentral.